This 504-nucleotide ribosomal RNA is filed under the name uncultured bacterium. RNAcentral's name for it is "SSU rRNA". It matches the Rfam family "Bacterial small subunit ribosomal RNA", at positions 26 to 518 of the family's 1533-position model. The record is from RNAcentral.
AGGACGAACGCUGGCGGCGCGCUUAACACAUGCAAGUCGAGCGAGAACCAGGCCUUCGGGCCUGGGGAAAGCGGCGAACGGGUGAGUAACACGUGGGUAACCCACCCUUGGUACCGGGAUAGCCCGAGGAAACUCGGAUUAAUACCGGAUGGCCCAACAGCUCUUCGGGGCGGUUGGAAAAGGUAGCUUCGGCCUCCGACCAAGGACGGGCCCGCGGCGGAUUAGCUUGUUGGUGAGGUAACGGCUCACCAAGGCGACGAUCCGUAGCUGGUCUGAGAGGACGAUCAGCCACACUGGGACUGAGACACGGCCCAGACUCCUACGGGAGGCAGCAGUGGGGAAUCUUGCGCAAUGGGCGAAAGCCUGACGCAGCGACGCCGCGUGGGGGAAGAAGGCUUUCGGGUUGUAAACCCCUUUCAGGAGGACGAAGCCACUCGGGUAAUAGCCCAGAGGGUGACGGUACUUCCAGAAGAAGCCCCGGCUAACGUACGUGCCAGCAGCCGC